RNAcentral lists this ribosomal RNA (266 nucleotides) under Staphylococcus aureus. RNAcentral describes it as "partial 16S ribosomal RNA". It matches the Rfam family "Bacterial small subunit ribosomal RNA", at positions 1 to 256 of the family's 1533-position model. Lineage: Bacteria; Bacillati; Bacillota; Bacilli; Caryophanales; Staphylococcaceae. The record is from RNAcentral.
UUUAUGGAGAGUUUGAUCCUGGCUCAGGAUGAACGCUGGCGGCGUGCCUAAUACAUGCAAGUCGAGCGAACGGACGAGAAGCUUGCUUUUCUGAUGUUAGCGGCGGACGGGUGAGUAACACGUGGAUAACCUACCUAUAAGACUGGGAUAACUUCGGGAAACCGGAGCUAAUACCGGAUAAUAUUUUGAACCGCAUGGUUCAAAAGUGAAAGACGGUCUUGCUGUCACUUAUAGAUGGAUCCGCGCUGCAUUAGCUAGUUGGUAAG